GUGGCCUUCGGGAACCGUGAGACAGGUGCUGCAUGGCUGUCGUCAGCUCGUGUUGUGGAAAUGUGGUUAAGUCCGCAACGAGCGCAACCCCUUAUCCUUUGUUGCCAGCGGUCCGGCCGGGAACUCAAAGGAGACUGCCAGUGAUAAACUGGAGGAAGGUGGGGAUGACGUCAAGUCAUCAUGGCCCUUACGACCAGGGCUACACACGUGCUACAAUGGCGCAUACAAAGAGAAGCGACCUCGCGAGAGCAAGCGGACCUCAUAAAGUGCGUCGUAGUCCGGAUUGGAGUCUGCAACUCGACUCCAUGAAGUCGGAAUCGCUAGUAAUCGUGGAUCAGAAUGCCACGGUGAAUACGUUCCCGGGCCUU
This 368-nucleotide ribosomal RNA is filed under the name uncultured Enterobacteriaceae bacterium. Its description in RNAcentral is "bacterial SSU rRNA". It matches the Rfam family "Bacterial small subunit ribosomal RNA", at positions 1013 to 1382 of the family's 1533-position model. The record is from RNAcentral. Lineage: Bacteria; Pseudomonadati; Pseudomonadota; Gammaproteobacteria; Enterobacterales; Enterobacteriaceae.